AAACACGGGUAUUAAACGGCCAA
Molecule: non-coding RNA, 23 nt
Filed under: Arabidopsis thaliana (thale cress)
Lineage: Eukaryota; Viridiplantae; Streptophyta; Magnoliopsida; Brassicales; Brassicaceae
Source: RNAcentral